RNAcentral lists this microRNA precursor (142 nucleotides) under Gossypium hirsutum (cotton). Its description in RNAcentral is "MIR7502 microRNA precursor family". It matches the Rfam family "MIR7502 microRNA precursor family". Lineage: Eukaryota; Viridiplantae; Streptophyta; Magnoliopsida; Malvales; Malvaceae. The record is from Rfam by way of RNAcentral.
UGUUAAAAUUUUCAUCCAUUUUUAUUAUUAAAACUAGCAUGAUAACGAAAUAACUGGACAAUUACAUGUGGCGUGCCACGUGUACCUUAUACUGAUGUACAAAGACAUGUUUUAACUGUAAAAAUGGAUGUAAUCUUUAAUA